AUUGAACGCUGGCGGCAGGCUUAACACAUGCAAGUCGAACGAGUGGCGGACGGGGGAGUAAUGCUUGGGAAUCUCGCUUAUGGAGGGGGAUCACUACGGGAAACUGUAGCUAAUACCGCUUACCAUAGGAUGAGCCCAAGUGGGGUUAGGUAGUUGGUGAGGUAAAGGCUCACCAAGCCGACGAUCUCUAGCUGGUCUGAGAGGAUGACCGGCCACACUGGGACUGAGACAAGGCCCAGACUCCUGCGGGAGGCAGCAGUGGGGAAUGUGGCGCAAUGGGAGCAGCCUGACGCAGCCAUGCCGCGUGAAUGAAGAAGGCCUUCGGGUUGUAGAGUUCUUUCGGUAGCGAGGCGUUAACUACAGAAGAAGCACCGGCUAACUCCGUGCCAGCCGCCGCGGUAAUAC
RNAcentral lists this ribosomal RNA (405 nucleotides) under uncultured bacterium. Its description in RNAcentral is "partial 16S ribosomal RNA". It matches the Rfam family "Bacterial small subunit ribosomal RNA", at positions 30 to 526 of the family's 1533-position model. The record is from RNAcentral.